RNAcentral lists this ribosomal RNA (478 nucleotides) under uncultured bacterium. RNAcentral describes it as "partial 16S ribosomal RNA". It matches the Rfam family "Bacterial small subunit ribosomal RNA", at positions 28 to 523 of the family's 1533-position model. The record is from RNAcentral.
GACGAACGCUGGCGGCGUGCUUAACACAUGCAAGUCGAACGGUAAGGCCCUUCGGGGUACACGAGUGGCGAACGGGUGAGUAACACGUGGGUGAUCUGCCCUGCACUUCGGGAUAAGCCUGGGAAACUGGGUCUAAUACCGGAUAGGACUCCGGCCUGCAUGGUCUGGGGUGGAAAGCUUUUGCGGUGUGGGAUGGGCCCGCGGCCUAUCAGCUUGUUGGUGGGGUGAUGGCCUACCAAGGCCACGACAGGUAGCCGGCCUGAGAGGGUGACCGGCCACACUGGGACUGGGAUACGGCCCAGAAUCCUACGGGGGGCAGCAGUGGGGAAUAUUGCACAAUGGGCGCAAGCCUGAUGCAGCGACGCCGCGUGAGGGAUGACGGCCUUCGGGUUGUAAACCUCUUUCAGCAUCGACGAAGCGAAAGUGACGGUAGGUGCAGAAGAAGGACCGGCCAACUACGUGCCAGCCGCCGCAGUAA